GGCCUAAUACAUGCAAGUCGAACGGCAGCACAGUGUAGCAAUACACCGGUGGCGAGUGGCGCACGGGUGCGUAACACGUAUGUAAUUUGCCCAUAACUGGGGAAUAGCCCUCCGAAAGGAGGAUUAAUACCCCAUGACCCAGCGAAGUGGCAUCACUUUUCUGGUAAAUCUCCGGAGGUUAUGGAUGAGCAUGCGUCCGAUUAGCUAGUUGGUGAGGUAACGGCUCACCAAGGCAACGAUCGGUAGGGGGUCUGAGAGGAUGAUCCCCCACACGGGUACUGAGACACGGACCCGACUCCUACGGGAGGCAGCAGUAAGGAAUAUUGGACAAUGGAGGCAACUCUGAUCCAGCCAUGCCGCGUGAAGGAUGAAGGCGCUACGCGUUGUAGACUUC
RNAcentral lists this ribosomal RNA (394 nucleotides) under uncultured organism. RNAcentral describes it as "bacterial SSU rRNA". It matches the Rfam family "Bacterial small subunit ribosomal RNA", at positions 45 to 433 of the family's 1533-position model. The record is from RNAcentral.